Molecule: ribosomal RNA, 601 nt
Filed under: Streptomyces sp.
Lineage: Bacteria; Bacillati; Actinomycetota; Actinomycetes; Kitasatosporales; Streptomycetaceae
Description: bacterial SSU rRNA
Rfam family: Bacterial small subunit ribosomal RNA
Source: RNAcentral
UGGGGAAUGGCGGGGUGCUACACAUGCAGUCGAACGAUGAACCACUUCGGUGGGGAUUAGUGGCGAACGGGUGAGUAACACGUGGGCAAUCUGCCCUGCACUCUGGGACAAGCCCUGGAAACGGGGUCUAAUACCGGAUAUGACCAUCUUGGGCAUCCUUGAUGGUGUAAAGCUCCGGCGGUGCAGGAUGAGCCCGCGGCCUAUCAGCUUGUUGGUGAGGUAAUGGCUCACCAAGGCGACGACGGGUAGCCGGCCUGAGAGGGCGACCGGCCACACUGGGACUGAGACACGGCCCAGACUCCUACGGGAGGCAGCAGUGGGGAAUAUUGCACAAUGGGCGAAAGCCUGAUGCAGCGACGCCGCGUGAGGGAUGACGGCCUUCGGGUUGUAAACCUCUUUCAGCAGGGAAGAAGCGAAAGUGACGGUACCUGCAGAAGAAGCGCCGGCUAACUACGUGCCAGCAGCCGCGGGUAAUACGUAGGGCGCGAGCGUUGUCCGGAAUUAUUGGGCGUCAAGAGCUCGUACGCGGCUUGUCACGUCGGUUGUGAAAAGCCCCGGGGCUUAACCCCCGGGUCUGCAGUCCUAUACGGGGCAGGCUAGA